UGACCAGAAUUUCCACAGCUGUUGUAGCUGCAUGAUAACAGAUAACUUUUGACCGAAGCUUUCAGUGGACUGGACUAUCAUUUGAGUCCCUCUGAGUCUGCUGCAGCCAAGAUGAAAGUCGUUCAUCUUAUUUUUCUUGUUUUUGUGACAUCUACAGCUGCACAGGUGGUUCUAAACAGUGCCUGUACCCAGCCCAUGAGGAGGGACCGUGCGACGCUGUGUUUCUGCGCUAUUUCUACAACACGACGACCCACACGUGUCAAACUUUAUUUACGGCGGCUGUUCCCCUAAUGCCAACAACUUCCUGACGAUGCAAGACUGUCUUAACCACUGUGUUUACCCAGUGGGCUGAAAACAGCCAGUCUUUGGCAAAGUUUCAGCAUUCACAUGCUGUUUGUGGAAUUAAAACAAUAUAUUAAGCA
Molecule: long non-coding RNA, 422 nt
Organism: Pomacea canaliculata
Lineage: Eukaryota; Metazoa; Mollusca; Gastropoda; Architaenioglossa; Ampullariidae
Exons: 2
Source: RefSeq, a predicted model, not a curated record